GGGCUAUGAAAGGCUGUACAAUUUAACCGCUGAUGUUGCAGCCGUUGCCGCCUUUCUGUUGGGGACCUGGCCUAGUCUGCUACUCAGUGAUCUUUGGGGCUCUUCAGAGGUAAUCGGGAGUUGGCCAAGGUGUAGAAUGCAGAGAACAGGGAAAGGAGACCUCCUUGGUGAAUAAAGCAUGGAUUCUCUCCAGUGCGAGAAAAACAAUGACACAUAUAAAAAGCAACAACUCAGAAAAAAAAAUACCUUUCUUCGUGAAAAGUAGAUCCCCAGGAAUCCCAAAUUCAAAUGCUGAAACCUUAAGAGUUCUAAGAUAUUUGCCUCUGGAAUGGAAAGAUGUGCGAUCAUGAGAAAUGGGGGUAAGAUAGAAAAAUUGUCACUUUUUGAUUAUUAUGAAGUUUAGUUUUAAAGUUAAUUUCUAGAAGAUCGGGCACACCUAAAAGAAAAAAAAAAAGAUCAACUCCAAAGCCAGUGACAAAUGGAAA
Non-coding RNA from Microcebus murinus (gray mouse lemur), 485 nucleotides. The record is from RefSeq and is a predicted model, not a curated record. Lineage: Eukaryota; Metazoa; Chordata; Mammalia; Primates; Cheirogaleidae.